ACCUACCGACAGCCUCUGCUUGGUCUUCAAAUGCCUCAUCUUCUUUUACUGUACAUUGCAUUCUUAUCUUCACUUUUGCUUUUCAAUUUCACACGUCUCCUCUGCCUUUGAACGACACCCCCUUCCUCACUCUUCUCUUUCAUUUUCCUGCGUUUCCUUUUGAUUCUUUUGGGUUCGGUCGAUGAAGCCUGCACGCUUCCCUUAUCACCACCGACAGCCUUCUGCCCCAUUUCCCCACCGAUUCCUCUCUGCCACGUCCGAGUUUCCUCCAAGCUCGGUCGACCGAAGAAGCGCCCCCCAGCCGUGUUGACUCCCCUGCCAGCGAAGCUCACCUUCGUUUGUCUCCAUCCUCUGAGCAGCCCCGCACCUUCGGUCCCUCAUCUCUGCCUCCACCGAACACCUCUCAUCUCCUGCCAUUGUUCGCGCCUGCCCACCUCACGCCCACGCGUCCACAGCUUCUACCUUUGAAGUCACCGUUGCCGAUUUGUUGACCCCGAGUCUCCUCGGCCAACCGUUCGCGUGAGACUUCCAUGGAGCAGCUCCCAUCUUCACUCGUGGAUCAGCCCUGCAAUCCUUUCCGCUAGUUUGUUAAUCGUGGAUCUCCGCUCGUCCAGCGUCAAGAGACCGAAUCAGCCGCGUCUUCUCUCUCUAUCGUCCGAGGCAGUCCCUGUCCGUGUCUUCGAGCAGCCGUCUUCAGCACGUCCAUUUCAGCCCAUAAGAAGUCAGCCCAAUUCAGCAGCUCCAUUCAAGCCCACGAGCCCAAAUGAGUUCAGUCCAUCAAAAGCCCAGCGAAAUUUUGAGGCCCAAGCCCGUGAAGUCAGGCCCACCGAAUCAGUGGACUCAGCCCAGCUCGAGCAGCGAGCUUGUAGGCCGAUUUCGGCCCCGAUUUGACCCCGGUUGGCGGACCCGCUUCGGAUGGGAUUGACCCUUGUCGCCUGCUCGUCGAUUUGGUCCGAUUGGCUCGUUAAUCAAGACUCUGAUGAAGAACCUGAGGAGAAAGAACUCGAAGAGGAGUAUCUGAAGGAGAACCCCGAGGAUGAUCUAGAGUAGGAUCCUGAUGACUGUUGCUGUAGAAUCUAAUUGAGUGUAAACCAACAUUUUUAGCAUGGUUUGUAUAUGUACAUGUAUGACUGAGUCAUUGUAGGUCUACAUAAGGGUGUUGGUUUUCAUGUUCAAUUUUCUAGUCCUACUUAUAUAUCCCAUUGCUUUAUGGUC
Molecule: long non-coding RNA, 1215 nt
Organism: Eucalyptus grandis
Lineage: Eukaryota; Viridiplantae; Streptophyta; Magnoliopsida; Myrtales; Myrtaceae
Exons: 2
Source: RefSeq, a predicted model, not a curated record